CCUACGGGUGGCAGCAGUGAGGAAUAUUGGUCAAUGGGCGUAAGCCUGAACCAGCCAAGUCGCGUGAGGGAUGAAGGUUCUAUGGAUCGUAAACCUCUUUUAUAAGGGAAUAAAGUGUGGGACGUGUCCUGUUUUGUAUGUACCUUAUGAAUAAGGAUCGGCUAACUCCGUGCCAGCAGCCGCGGUAAUACGGAGGAUCCGAGCGUUAUCCGGAUUUAUUGGGUUUAAAGGGUGCGUAGGCGGCCUUUUAAGUCAGCGGUGAAAGUCUGUGGCUCAACCAUAGAAUUGCCGUUGAAACUGGCAGUCUCGAGUUGGAGAGAAGUAUGCGGAAUGCGCGGUGUAGCGGUGAAAUGCAUAGAUAUCGCGCAGAACUCCGAUUGCGAAGGCAGCAUGCCGGCUCCACACUGACGCUGAGGCACGAAAGCGUGGGUAUCGAACAGGAUUAGAUACCCCGGUAGUC
RNAcentral lists this ribosomal RNA (460 nucleotides) under uncultured bacterium. RNAcentral's name for it is "partial 16S ribosomal RNA". It matches the Rfam family "Bacterial small subunit ribosomal RNA", at positions 338 to 795 of the family's 1533-position model. The record is from RNAcentral.